AUGACUUUUCAGAGAUAUGUUCCAAGUUUGUGACAAAGGAUUCCAACAAAGAAUUGGUACAGGAUAUAGGUCUUAUUGGGUCAAAUGGGAUUCCAUCAUUUGUCACAACUAUUUCUCCAUACCUCAGUGAUUCUAUGUUAAUGUUGAUAUCUCCUGAGAAGGAUACCAGUGUUUGUGACAAGUUCAAUGAUGAUGAAAGGCUGACCUUUACAAAAGGAAACAGAAGUGAGAGUAAUGUAGGCCUUCAGAGCUUAUCUGACAAUUUUGCCAAGGAAACUGCUGCAAAGGAAAUCAAUGAAGUAUUGAAAACCAAUAAACCUCUUUUGGGAUGCAUGCA
This 337-nucleotide unclassified non-coding RNA is filed under the name Hevea brasiliensis (rubber tree). Lineage: Eukaryota; Viridiplantae; Streptophyta; Magnoliopsida; Malpighiales; Euphorbiaceae. The record is from RNAcentral.